GUUGAAGCACCGGUUCCUGUACGAUCACCGAAGUUAAACAACGUUGAGCCUGGUCAGUACCUAGAUGGGUGACCUCUUCGGAAUACCAAGU
Molecule: ribosomal RNA, 91 nt
Filed under: Acanthosepion pharaonis
Lineage: Eukaryota; Metazoa; Mollusca; Cephalopoda; Sepiida; Sepiidae
Source: RNAcentral